RNAcentral lists this ribosomal RNA (407 nucleotides) under uncultured bacterium. RNAcentral's name for it is "bacterial SSU rRNA". It matches the Rfam family "Bacterial small subunit ribosomal RNA", at positions 355 to 776 of the family's 1533-position model. The record is from RNAcentral.
UGGGGAAUAUUGGGCAAUGGGGGAAACCCUGACCCAGCAACGCCGCGUGAGGGAAGAAGGUUUUCGGAUUGUAAACCUCUGUCCUAAGGGAAGAAGGAAGUGACGGUACUUUAGGAGGAAGCCCCGGCUAACUACGUGCCAGCAGCCGCGGUAAUACGUAGGGGGCGAGCGUUGUCCGGAAUUAUUGGGCGUAAAGGGUGCGUAGGCGGCCAAGCAAGUCAGAUGUGAAAUACCAGGGCUUAACUCUGGGGCUGCAUUUGAAACUGCCUGGCUAGAGUGCAGGAGAGGGAAGCGGAAUUCCUAGUGUAGCGGUGAAAUGCAUAGAUAUUAGGAGGAACACCAGUGGCGAAGGCGGCUUUCUGGACUGUAACUGACGCUGAGGCACGAAAGCGUGGGGAGCAAACAGG